AACGUACGCUGGCGGUAUGCUUAACACAUGCAAGUCGAACGAACGAAGCUCUAGCUUGCUAGAGAUUAGUUAGUGGCAAACGGGUGAGUAACACGUGGGAAUCUACCCAGUAGUACGGAAUAACAGUUGGAAACGAUUGCUAAUACCGUAUAGUAUCGAGAGAUUAAAGAUUUAUCGCUACUGGAUGAGCCCGCGUCAGAUUAGAUAGUUGGUGGGGUAAUGGCCUACCAAGGCUACGAUCUAUAGCUGGUUUGAGAGGAUGAUCAGCCACACUGGGACUGAGACACGGCCCAG
RNAcentral lists this ribosomal RNA (294 nucleotides) under uncultured bacterium. RNAcentral's name for it is "partial 16S ribosomal RNA". It matches the Rfam family "Bacterial small subunit ribosomal RNA", at positions 29 to 334 of the family's 1533-position model. The record is from RNAcentral.